This 519-nucleotide ribosomal RNA is filed under the name uncultured Massilia sp. Its description in RNAcentral is "bacterial SSU rRNA". It matches the Rfam family "Bacterial small subunit ribosomal RNA", at positions 1 to 526 of the family's 1533-position model. Lineage: Bacteria; Pseudomonadati; Pseudomonadota; Betaproteobacteria; Burkholderiales; Oxalobacteraceae. The record is from RNAcentral.
UAGAGUUUGAUUCUGGCUCAGAUUGAACGCUGGCGGCAUGCCUUACACAUGCAAGUCGAACGGCAGCGCGGGGCAACCUGGCGGCGAGUGGCGAACGGGUGAGUAAUAUAUCGGAACGUGCCCUGGAGUGGGGGAUAACGCAGCGAAAGUUGCGCUAAUACCGCAUACGAUCUAAGGAUGAAAGCAGGGGACCGCAAGGCCUUGUGCUCCUGGAGCGGCCGAUAUUGAUUAGCUAGUUGGUGGGGUAAAGGCCUACCAAGGCAUCGAUCAGUAGCUGGUCUGAGAGGACGACCAGCCACACGGAACUGAGACACGGUUCAGACUCCUACGGGAGGCAGCAGUGGGGAAUUUUGGACAAUGGGCGAAAGCCUGAUCCAGCAAUGCCGCGUGAGUGAAGAAGGCCUUCGGGUUGUAAAGCUCUUUUGUCAGGGAAGAAACGGUGUGGGCUAAUAUCCUGCACUAAUGACGGCACCUGAAGAAUAAGCACCGGCUAACUACGUGCCAGCAGCCGCGGAAUAC